Oncorhynchus tshawytscha (Chinook salmon) is the source of this 649-nucleotide long non-coding RNA. NCBI's taxonomy places the organism in Eukaryota, Metazoa, Chordata, Actinopteri, Salmoniformes, Salmonidae. The record is from Ensembl.
CAACAAACCUCUAACCCUGGGCAGAGUAACACACCUGGCCCAGGUAUACACACCUCAACCAGAACACAGCAACAAACCUCUAACCCUGGGCAGAGUAACACACACCUGGCCCAGGUAUACACGCCUCAACCAGAACACAGCAACACACCUCUAACCCUUAGACUGGAGAAGAAAGACUAAGGCGUUACCAGGGGUGGAGUCUCGAAGGGCAACGGCCCAAUCAGACCAAAGCCCGGCCAGCAGCAGAGUCUGACACUACCCAGAAAUCCCCACCCCUACCCAAUCCCCCAAUCAGAACCCCCGAGAAGCUCAGACGUGAGAGUGCUAAGCCAAUCAGACAGAGCGAGAAGAAUGUGAGGGGACUGUCUGGGGCAGUGGCUAUUGUGAAGAGAGAGAGAGGCAGACCGAAGGUUACUAGCUCUCCAGCUACACCUGUACAGACCAGCCUUGCAGAACAGAUCAGCCUAGAGGGAGAAACAAGGAGGAGGAAGAAAAAGAGGAGAGUAGAAGCCUCAGCUGGGGUGGGAGAAAGGACCAGAGCCAGGGAGGACAAGCAAGAAACAGAGCCAGCGAGGACAAGCGAGAAACAGAGCCAGCGAGGACAAGCGAGAAACAGAGCCAGCGAGGACAAGCGAGAAACAGAGCCAGC